AGGGGAUCUAAAACCACCUGAUGUCCAACCAAAAGUGGAGGACAAAGUCCGGCACAGCACACGUCGCCCAGCCCCAAAACCCCCCACAGCAAAUGGAGCCAAUAGCAGAACCAACAUUCAGGCUGCUGCCACUGCUGCAAACACAUAUGCACGACCACAGGAACGACAGGUGUCUGGGAAUACACAUACACAAUCCUCCAGCACACUGAGAAACCAACGAAGAGGAGCAGUGGGAGCAGGAAGAGUAGGAGGACGAGGAGCGACAGCAAUGAAAGACAGGAGCCUUGGGGACAUCAGCGUAAAGGAAGGAGUGACAUCAGCGAAAGAAGAGAGAAGAGGAGGAAGACUGUGUGAUGAUUCCAAAGGGAGGGAGAAAGAGAGGUUUGGACAUCAGAAACGAAGAGAAGCAAACGGCCUGAAAAGCCAGGGAACUGAACAGAAAGGAAAAGCAGGCACUAAAUAUGGUAACAGUGGAGGGCGAUGCAAGUCGAAUAACAUACUGUCUAACCAGGAAGUUUAUCUGACAGCCAUGGUGGUUCCACGCACACCUGUAGCACCAAGAAACCAAGACAAGACCCAAGACCAAGGUCAAAACCAUGACAGGACCCAGGACAACCGCCCUGUUCUCUCCCGUUCCAGCAGUGAGGGAGGAUCAAACAGAAUGUCCCUUAGCUCAGACACAGAGGGGCCCCCACCAGGACCUCUACAUCCCUCUCUGUCUCACCGAACCAACCCUGACAUCAGCGAAGAGGACGGGGAGGGAGAUCCAGCUCCCUGCAUGAAUGUCCAGAAUGGUCCAAUCGACUGCUCUGCAAGUAAUGAAAAAACAGGGUUGGAGUGUGCAAAGUCAGAGGAGGAUGCAGGGGGAGGAAAGAGUGACAGCAAUGCUGAGGUGGUUGGCACCAACUCUCUCACUCAGGGAGAUUCUGUAGGUGCUCCCACAGUACCAAGGAGUGAAGCUACAGCAGGGUUAAAUUAUGACUCUGUCAAAUACACUCUGGUGGUUGAUGAAAAUGCUCAGUUGGAGCUGGUCAGCCUCAAGGACUGCUUACAUGGUUACAACGAGCACAAUGAUGACAGUGAUGCAGAAACAGUGUAUCAAUCAGCCAAUGAGGAGGAAGACCCAGAGUAUGAGGAGGAAAGGAAGAAGACAGAGGCAGCAAGGAAACAAGGUAAUGAUGCAGG
RNAcentral lists this long non-coding RNA (1185 nucleotides) under Mastacembelus armatus (zig-zag eel). RNAcentral describes it as "lncRNA (ENSMAMG00000024771.1)". Lineage: Eukaryota; Metazoa; Chordata; Actinopteri; Synbranchiformes; Mastacembelidae. The record is from RNAcentral.